RNAcentral lists this ribosomal RNA (564 nucleotides) under Nocardia sp. 340A09. RNAcentral's name for it is "bacterial SSU rRNA". It matches the Rfam family "Bacterial small subunit ribosomal RNA", at positions 93 to 671 of the family's 1533-position model. Lineage: Bacteria; Bacillati; Actinomycetota; Actinomycetes; Mycobacteriales; Nocardiaceae. The record is from RNAcentral.
CAGCGGCGAACGGGUGAGUAACACGUGGGUGAUCUGCCUCGUACUCUGGGAUAAGCCUGGGAAACUGGGUCUAAUACCGGAUAGGACUACUGGAUGCAUGUCUGGUGGUGGAAAGAUUUAUCGGUGCGAGAUGGGCCCGCGGCCUAUCAGCUUGUUGGUGGGGUAAUGGCCUACCAAGGCGACGACGGGUAGCCGACCUGAGAGGGUGACCGGCCACACUGGGACUGAGACACGGCCCAGACUCCUACGGGAGGCAGCAGUGGGGAAUAUUGCACAAUGGGCGGAAGCCUGAUGCAGCGACGCCGCGUGAGGGAUGACGGCCUUCGGGUUGUAAACCUCUUUCGACAGGGACGAAGCGCAAGUGACGGUACCUGUAUAAGAAGCACCGGCCAACUACGUGCCAGCAGCCGCGGUAAUACGUAGGGUGCGAGCGUUGUCCGGAAUUACUGGGCGUAAAGAGCUUGUAGGCGGUUCGUCGCGUCGAUUGUGAAAACUUGCAGCUCAACUGCAAGCUUGCAGUCGAUACGGGCGGACUAGAGUACUUCAGGGGAGACUGGAAUUCCU